GGAAGCCUGCCUGUGCUUUCAAUGUGAUUAUCAAGGAGGAGGAGGAGGAGGAAGAAAAGAAAGAAGUUGAGGGAGAGGAGAGUGACGUGAAAUAAAGGUGAAGUGAGAAUACAUAUAGUUAUUGAAAUUCACACCUAUCCUUGCAAUUGCAUCUUCUGUGACGGCAUGGUCAUGGGCAGCACCAUUUGAGUUUUAAAAAUCAGUAAGGGUUUUCCUGCACAACUGUAAAAUCAGACUGUAGCCUUGUCACAGCCAGGUCAGCAGUCGGGGUAAUUCCGUAACGUAAUAGUAUCAUCCGUAUUUAGAUGAGAUCGAGACAAGAUCGUUAACAACUAUAUUGGUUGCUGUAAUAAUGCUAUUCCCAGGCUUAAAGCCUGAUUGGUUUACGUUAACAAUACAUGUCUCAUUGUAAACCAGGUUGCCAGUCCGGGCCUAAGCCUGUGUUCCUGGCCUUGACCCAAGCAUCAUUUAUUUAAUGAAUUAUUUCUGAACAGGAUACCACCUCCUAAUGUGCUACAGUGUGUACAGUCUGAACAAGAUACCUCCUCCUAAUGUACUGCAGUGUGUACAGUCUGAACAGGUACAAAACCAAGGUUGGUGAUUUACUGCUACCUGCAGUUAUGGAAUGUUAUCUCAGGACUAUAAAUUCAUUGGUUGACUCCUCCUCCUGACCUCCUCCUGACCUGGAUGGAAUUAUACGACCUGGAUAUAGUGCACUACAUUUGACCAUGAUUUUUGGAAUGAGAUGUUGGACGAGCAGGUGUCACACUACAUCGGUUGCCACUACAAACGUAUCUUCCUUUAUCUACUACCAAACAUAGAAACGCUCCAUUUUCACAUCUGCUGAUAUUGGGUUGGUGCUUGAGGUUAUGAAUAUGUAGUAGAAUGUUUUUGAAAUGUCCCUUUAAAAGGUACGUAUGCCCAUGUACACGACUAACAUUUAAAUGUAAAACAGUUGACAGUAGCAUAAUCUAUAUUUGACUUGAGCUGAAUACUGGGGCUGAGUCUACAUAUAGUAUAUACUGGGGCUGAGUCUACAUAUAGUAUAUACUGGGGCUGAGUCUAUAUGUAGUAUAUACUGGGGGUUGAGUCUAUAUAUAGUAUAUACUGGGGGCUGAGUCUAUAUAUAUUAUAUACUGGGGCUGAGUCGAUAUAGUAUAUACUGGGGGCUGAAUGUCCCAAAUGGCGCGCUAUUCACCCUGUAGUGCACUACUUUCGACUAUGGGCCCUAUUCUGUAGUGCACUACAUUUGACUAUGGGCCCUAUUCUGUAGUGCACUACUUUUGACUAUGGGCCCUAUUCUGUAGUGCACUGCAUUUGACCAUGGGCCCAAUUCAGUUGUGGAUAUUUUUUUAUACCUGAUUAAACUCAGUAGAAGGGCUGGUUUGUAUUGACAUAAAAUGUAUUGUUAUGUCAUGAUGGAACCGGUGUUCCUUUCAGGGUUUGGAACCUGAAAGUAUUUUCCAAUUAUUUUGUUCUGAACAGAACUGUUAUUGUUUUUUUGUUCCAUUCCAGCAAAGUAAAGUUCUGAAACAUGACACACUGGGCAUCUUGUUGUUAUGACAUGUAUUAUCUGUUAUGACAUGUAUUAUCUGUUAUGACAUGUAUUAUCUGAAUUAGG
Oncorhynchus tshawytscha (Chinook salmon) is the source of this 1621-nucleotide long non-coding RNA. The record is from Ensembl. Lineage: Eukaryota; Metazoa; Chordata; Actinopteri; Salmoniformes; Salmonidae.